This is a long non-coding RNA of Dermacentor andersoni, 469 nucleotides long. RefSeq lists it as uncharacterized. The record is from RefSeq and is a predicted model, not a curated record. NCBI's taxonomy places the organism in Eukaryota, Metazoa, Arthropoda, Arachnida, Ixodida, Ixodidae.
GUAGCUGCAAGGGCGUUCAAGGGAACGGACAAUAUACGCCGACUUCGCUCUGUUUCGAGCAUUUGCUGCGUGUCUUCGUAAGCUAAUAAACCUCGUCGCCCGGAGCAGCAUUACGACGACUAAGGAUCUAUAAAAUCGUCUCUCUUCUCGUCUUCGGAUAGAUUCAGUGGUGGACAACUAUGGAGAAGAAAUUCGCCGCUCCGUUUGUCCUGGCACUGAUAGCCAUCGGUAUUCUGGCAAGCCUUACAACGGAGAACGGGGGAGCAUUGGCGGACGGUGGCUCUGAAAGUACUAGUGACGACACCGACUACCGAACCCCAGAGCGCCCUAAUGUGACUCCCUCAAGCAGCCGCUAGGUGCUUCGUCGACAGCUUUCCGUGACGAAGUGGAGAGUCCCAAGCUGGGAGAGGUUGCGGUUGCUUGCGCCGCGAUCAUUCUGAUGCGCUAAUAAACUGUGAAAGAAGCUCUC